RNAcentral lists this unclassified non-coding RNA (305 nucleotides) under plant metagenome. Its description in RNAcentral is "partial contains 5.8S ribosomal RNA, internal transcribed spacer 2, and large subunit ribosomal RNA". The stretch from base 1 to 105 matches the Rfam family "5.8S ribosomal RNA", at positions 50 to 154 of the family's 154-position model. The record is from RNAcentral.
GAAAUGCGAUAAGUAGUGUGAAUUGCAGAAUUCAGUGAAUCAUCGAAUCUUUGAACGCACAUUGCGCCCUUUGGUAUUCCUUAGGGCAUGCCUGUUCGAGCGUCAUCUAAACCUUCAAGCCCUGCUUGGUGUUGGGUGCCUGUCCCGCCUCCGCGCGCGGACUCACCUCAAAUCCAUUGGCGGCCCCCGCGUCGGCCACGAGCGCAGCAGAAACGCGAACUCGUGAGCCCGUCCGGGCGGCUCCCAGAAGCUACACCCACCCAGUUUGACCUCGGAUCAGGUAGGGAUACCCGCUGAACUUAGGC